RNAcentral lists this ribosomal RNA (201 nucleotides) under uncultured bacterium. RNAcentral describes it as "partial 16S ribosomal RNA". It matches the Rfam family "Bacterial small subunit ribosomal RNA", at positions 1300 to 1500 of the family's 1533-position model. The record is from RNAcentral.
GUAGUCUGCAACUCGACUACAUGAAGCUGGAAUCGCUAGUAAUCGCGAAUCAGAAUGUCGCGGUGAAUACGUUCCCGGGUCUUGUACACACCGCCCGUCACACCAUGGGAGUCGGAUAUGCCCGAAGCCAGUGGCCUAACCGCAAGGGAGGAGCUGUCGAAGGCAGGCCCGGUAACUGGGGUGAAGUCGUAACAAGGUAAC